Non-coding RNA from Podarcis lilfordi (Lilford's wall lizard), 3208 nucleotides. The record is from the annotation of a GenBank genome assembly. NCBI's taxonomy places the organism in Eukaryota, Metazoa, Chordata, Lepidosauria, Squamata, Lacertidae.
GGUCCUAUCACAGGGGCAGUAAGAAACUGACAGAUUUCUUUGCUUGGGAGACAGCUGUUCCUUCUCAGGUACUAUUAUUAAUAUGCCCUAAGGCAAUGUUUGCUCUGAAAUAUCUCUAAUUGAAAUAAUUUACCCUGAUCCUCAGAGAUUUAGGAAACUGUUUUCAUCAUGUUCGCACACAGCCAAAUAAUUAUGAGAUGCCAUAUGGAAAAGACAUCAUGUGGUCUAUGAAUUUCUCUGAAUGUAUACUUUUGAAAUAGUUCCCACCGAUAAGUUACCAAGCUAAAUUACAAAGAGGAGAUGGAUAACAGUAGUUCCUCGUUAGGUGGUUUUGGUUUAAAGCAGCCUCAGUCUCUGUAGGUUCGCAGUUGACUUUACAUGGAAUAGCUGCACAAGGCCUAGGACACAGCUCAUAAAAUAGUGGUGGAAUUAUCGGGCUGGAGUGCAAAAGGAACAAGGUGUCAAAAUUAUUGUGUUUUAAUUAGAAGCAUGGAGAAACAAAUGCGAAGUUGUCUAAAAGGUCAAGUAGGCGCAGCAAGAGUUAAUUUUGCAUUUGUUUCUAUGUGUGCAUACAUCUGAUUAUCACUGAAACAACUCCGGGAAUCGUGACUGCACACAAAAGAUAAUGUGAAUUAGUGGACAUUUGCCAGUUGUGUCUCUUGUAGCAAACCCUCCUUCCUUCAAAAUAGGUGUUGGGAUUGAGGUGGUUUUCAGGGGGGAAACAGUAGGAAGGGGCAGGGUGAAGUAUCAUCUUUCCGUGCACUGCUUCAUCACAGUACAUGCCUCCUCACAUUGCUUGGCUAUGCAGCAAUGUCAACACAGCUUCCCAUACUUAUGUUUGCUGCUAAACACUUAGGCCCCAUCCACACUAUAUUUUUUUAAAGCAGUGUUAUACCAUUUUAUGCAGCAUGGCUUCACUAUGACCCCAGCCCUUAAGUAGACAAAGCUUAUCCAACCCAGCUCAAUUUCAUAAUUUAGUUGCCCUGGAUACCUGCCUUGUCACAAAGCAGUCAUUUCUAGCACUGAAUUCAGCCUCACCCUCUUCCAAUAUUUCCAUCUGCUGAAGCAUUCCCACCCUUCAUCUCCAGAACUCAGGAUAGGCUGCAAUAUUUAAAACAGCAUCCAUAGAAGAGCAGAUUAAAACAGGUAGCAUAAAAACCUAACACCAAAAUGACACUUGUGGGUUAAUACCCCAUGAAGGCCCUGGCAGGCAGGCAGGCUAGUGCAGGGCAAGUCAUGUGACGCACAUAGUUCCAUCUUGUAGCACAGGGCUGGGGAUCCCUUGGCUCUCCAGCUCCCAUUAUUCAUCACCAUUGUUCAUGCUGGCGGCGGCUGCUGGGAGCUGGGAUCUGACAACAUCCCAAGGGUCAAACUUUCCCCUAGACCUGCUCUAACAUCUUGCCAUUGCUCUCUGCUCACCCACUCGGAAAAUCUGUCACCUGAGGUAGCUCUCUAACUCCGUAUAAUGGUAAAAGCCCAUCUCUCUACUUUUUAUGCUUCUUGUAGAAUGCAAAGUGUGGCUCAGGUUUGACCAAACUGCAGGAGGCAGUGAAAGACACAAGUGCCUGGCCUUCUCUGGUCCAUUGGGUCACGAAGAGUCAGACACGACUAAACGACUAAACAACACAGAAUGCAAAGUAGUGCAUGGGAAGAUCUAGCUCCUAGAGUUGCGCUGGGGCAUGACUCUGGCUUUUCUAUUUCUUAGCCUUGGGGUUUUUUAAAAAAGAAAGAAAGAAAAGCACACACAUUUAGUUGUACUGCAACACAACCAAUAAUGUCACCCCUGUUGUUUCUGUUAUACCACACACAUUUCUACUUCGUCAUCUUAAAAUAUCCCAUUAAAGUGUACUGGACUGCCACACACUUCAUCGUCUGACAAUUAAACAAAGGUAACAUUUUCAGAGAGUUAUGAAGUGUUAAUAUAUCUCUACACACUCAAACACACACACACACACACAAGCUUGGAAUACAUAUUUAUGGUACCCUUGUGCUUUCUGGUUCGGUUAAUGUAACACGGGAAAGGUAAAGCAUCUCAAAUUGCACAGUAUUCCUUCUUUUAAAAAAAAACACAAAACAAAAACAAAACUUGGGUCCUUUGGUGUGUAUCUUGAUUAAAGCACAGUGAGAAGGUCAUUGCCCAAACUUCAUCUUCCACACAGUUUCCCACAGCAUGUAUUCCUCACAGGGAACAUUUUCUCAGCUCAGGUUAUUUCCAGAAAUGUUCUCAAACCAAAAGAACAGUCCUUGCAGUAAAACAUUUCAUUCCCACUUUUUAUCCUUUAUCUCACAGUCCUCUGUUGACAGCACUUAUGUUUCUUCGAUUGACUGGGCCAAGAACAACAGAAUUAAUGAUGUUGUCUCUUUGUGAGUGCAUUAUGUUUUCUCUUCUCCCCUCCUUCUUCUGACCUUUCAAACAUGGGAAUCUUUUAUUUGUAAUUUUUCUUUAAAAGGGAGGGGAAGAGGACCUUCUCUGUUUACAUUGUUGCUGACACUUUCAAAGGUAUCUUGAAGCUGUGUACAUGCAAUAGGUGACCAUAUAACUGUUGGGAGAACUUUCCCAUGCAUUUUCUAUUUGUGCAUGCUCCCACACUUGAAAACCCCAGACAGAUGUGCACUGCAGUCCUUACUUUCUCAGAAGUAAUUUUCAGUGGUUUCAACAGGACAUAUUCCUGCAGGGCUCUAUUUUGUCCCCAGUGCUGUUGACAAUGACCAUUAGAAAUCUUGGGGAACGUGGCAUCAGCAUGCUGAUAAUACCCUGCUCCAUUUCUCCACUACGUCUAAUUCAGAUGAGACUGGAAGAUCAAGACUCUGAACCCUGGGAAGACAGAGGAUUUCUGAGUGGUUUUUAGAUCUGGGAUACAGGCCAGUUGCCUGCCCUGGAUGGGGUUGCACUGAAUCUGAAGGAGCAGUUAUGUAGUUUGGUGGCACUCCUUGAGACUCAGGUAGCCUCUCUGGCUAUGAGUGCCUUUGACGUGCUUUGGCUCUUAUGCCAGCUACGGGCAUUCCUGGAUAGGAUUAACCUCAGCACUGUAGUUCAUGCAUUGGUAACCUCAAGACUGGGUUAUUGUUGCAUGCUGUAUGUGGAGCUGCCCUUGGGUCUGGUAGCUUCAGCUAGAGCAGAAUGCUAUGGUUAGACUGGUGACUACCACCCACACAUGAUACCAGAGUUAACUGACAUCUGCUGCUGGACCAAGUUCAAGGUUCUCAC